AGCAGCCGCGGUAAUUCCAGCUCCAAUAGCGUAUAUUAAAGUUGUUGCAGUUAAAAAGCUCGUAGUUGAAUUUCGGGAUUGAUGUGAUGGUCGUGCCUUAAGGGGUAUGAACUGUCGCAGUUGAUUUCUCACCUUCUGGAGAAGCUUGAUGUCCUUAAUUGGGUGUCAUGUGGAACCAGGACCUUUACCUUGAAAAAAUUAGAGUGUUUAAAGCAGGCAUUUUGCUCGAAUACAUUAGCAUGGAAUAAUAGAAUAGGACGGCAUGGUUCUAUUUUGUUGGUUUCUAGGAUCACCGUAAUGAUUAAUAGGGAUAGUUGGGGGCAUUAGUAUUCAAUUGUCAGAGGUGAAAUUCUUGGAUUUAUUGAAGACUAACUACUGCGGAAGCAUUUGCCAAGGAUGUUUUCAUUAAUCAAGAACGAAAGUUAGGGGAUCGAAGACGAUCAGAUACCGUCGUAGUCUUAACCAUAAACUAUGCCGACUAGGAAUCAGACGAUGUUAAUUUUUAAUGUACUUCG
RNAcentral lists this ribosomal RNA (515 nucleotides) under uncultured Entrophospora. Its description in RNAcentral is "SSU rRNA". It matches the Rfam family "Eukaryotic small subunit ribosomal RNA", at positions 569 to 1082 of the family's 1831-position model. Lineage: Eukaryota; Fungi; Glomeromycota; Glomeromycetes; Entrophosporales; Entrophosporaceae. The record is from RNAcentral.